RNAcentral lists this ribosomal RNA (490 nucleotides) under uncultured bacterium. RNAcentral describes it as "bacterial SSU rRNA". It matches the Rfam family "Bacterial small subunit ribosomal RNA", at positions 903 to 1397 of the family's 1533-position model. The record is from RNAcentral.
AAAUGAAUUGACGGGAGCCCGCACAAGCAGUGGAGUAUGUGGUUUAAUUCGAAGCAACGCGAAGAACCUUACCAGGGAUUGACAUCCACGGAAUCUUGGGUAACGCCGGGAGUGCCCUUCGGGGAACCGUGAGACAGGUGGUGCAUGGUUGUCGUCAGCUCGUGUCGUGAGAUGUUGGGUUAAGUCCCGCAACGAGCGCAACCCUUACAGUUAGUUGCUACGCAAGAGCACUCUAACAGGACUGCCGUUGACAAAACGGAGGAAGGUGGGGAUGACGUCAAAUCAUCAUGCCCCUUAAGCUCUGGGCUACACACGUACUACAAUGGCGUUUAACAACGGGAAGCGAAGCCGCGAGGCGGAGCAAAUCCCCAAAAAGCGCCCCAGUUCAGAUUGCAGGCUGCAACCCGCCUGCAUGAAGUCGGAAUUGCUAGUAAUCGCGAAUCAGCAUGUCGCGGUGAAUACGUUCCCGGGCUUUGUACACACCGCCCGU